This 103-nucleotide ribosomal RNA is filed under the name Monophyllus redmani. RNAcentral's name for it is "partial 16S ribosomal RNA". The record is from RNAcentral. Lineage: Eukaryota; Metazoa; Chordata; Mammalia; Chiroptera; Phyllostomidae.
ACAAGAGAGGCAAGGCCCNCUUAAACUUAAGCGCCUUCUAGCUAAACAGAUGAUCUAAUCUUAAUCUGACAUGCAGUAAGCAUACAGCCCUAGACCAGGGCUA